GGUUGUGUGAUGUAGAGGUUUAGCAUUCCAGAUUUUGAAGCUUCCGCACAGCGGAUCCAUUCGAAAUUUCUGGCCACCUGGGUUCGACUCCCAGCACGACCA
This 102-nucleotide transfer RNA is filed under the name Moesziomyces antarcticus T-34. It matches the Rfam family "tRNA". Rfam says of the family: Transfer RNA (tRNA) molecules are approximately 80 nucleotides in length. Their secondary structure includes four short double-helical elements and three loops (D, anti-codon, and T loops). Lineage: Eukaryota; Fungi; Basidiomycota; Ustilaginomycetes; Ustilaginales; Ustilaginaceae. The record is from Rfam by way of RNAcentral.